UACGAACGCUGGCGGCAGGCUUAACACAUGCAAGUCGAACGCCCCGCAAGGGGAGUGGCAGACGGGUGAGUAACGCGUGGGAACGUACCUUUCAGUUCGGAAUAACUCAGGGAAACUUGUGCUAAUACCGGAUACGCCCGCAAGGGGAAAGAUUUAUCGCUGAAAGAUCGGCCCGCGUUGGAUUAGCUAGUUGGUGGGGUAAAGGCCUACCAAGGCGACGAUCCAUAGCUGGUCUGAGAGGAUGAUCAGCCACACUGGGACUGAGACACGGCCCAGACUCCUACGGGAGGCAGCAGUGGGGAAUUUUGGACAAUGGGGGAAACCCUGAUCCAGCAACGCCGCGUGAAUGAAGAAGGCCUUAGGGUUGUAAAGUUCUUUUGUCAGGGAAGAAAGUUUACUGUGCUAAUAUCAUAGAACGAUGACGGUACCUGAAGAAUAAGCACCGGCUAACUACGUGCCAGCAGCCGCGGUAAUGUACAGUGU
RNAcentral lists this ribosomal RNA (483 nucleotides) under uncultured bacterium. Its description in RNAcentral is "bacterial SSU rRNA". It matches the Rfam family "Bacterial small subunit ribosomal RNA", at positions 29 to 533 of the family's 1533-position model. The record is from RNAcentral.